This is a long non-coding RNA of Polypterus senegalus (gray bichir), 251 nucleotides long. RefSeq lists it as uncharacterized. The record is from RefSeq and is a predicted model, not a curated record. Lineage: Eukaryota; Metazoa; Chordata; Cladistia; Polypteriformes; Polypteridae. The transcript has 3 exons.
AACUUUGUAGCAGCCACAGCAUUCCAGAGGGUAGUGUCCUGUUUGAAAGAGAACUAACAAAUACUCUUUCAGAAGAUGAACUGACAGAUAAUAAAAUGAACAGAAAACAAAGCAAUAAUUAUGGAUCCCAGUCUAGUGUAAAUACCAUUGGAACAGAAGACUAUGUUGACACAUUUCAGGAUAUGAUUGUUAAACAUGUUGCAGGAGUGCCUUUGUUGCACUUUGACGAUGUGACUAUAGACAGUGACUUG